AUAAGUCGCACCUGUCGAAAAUGCAUAAUAAAAAAGGAAAAAAACAUGUAUAAGUCGCACUGGAGCCCGGCCAAACUAUGAAAAAAAAUGCGACUUAUAGUCCGAAAAAUACGGUAUGUGUGAUAAUUAAAAAAUAUAUAUAAUCAAAAUACAAUAAGUGCAAAAAUAUCCAUUCUUAAAAGAAUCUGACUAUACUAGAGUACGAUAUCUAAUGUUUUUUGUUUUUUUUACAUAGUUCAUAGAAUAUCAAAACAUUGUUUAAACUACUUGGGAAAUGUGUUUUUUUCCCACACCUUUUAGAGUAACAUUAACAAAAAAUGGCGCCUCUGUUUGUUGCUGCCAAGUAGUGCACUCUUGAUUAUUUGUUUUUACGAUAUAAAGUUGAAGUACCAAUGAUUGUCACACACACACACACACACACACACACUAGCGAUAUAUUUAUUGACUAUGGUGUCUUAAUUAUGUAAAUGCACAACAAGUGUGGAGAUGGCCUUGAAAAUGUAUUAAAAAAAUAAUAUAUAUAAUCAAAAUACAAUAAGUGCAAAAAUAUCCAUUCUUAAAAAAAUCUGACUAUACUAGGGAACAAUAUCAAUGUUUUUUUUUUAUAUAUAUAGUUCAUAUUAUAUCAAAACAUUGUUUAAACUACUUGGGAAAUGUGUUUUUUUUCCACACCUUUUAUAGUAACAAUAACAAAAAAUGGCGCCUCUGCUGGUUGCUGCCAAGUAGUGCACUCUUGAUUAAUAUUUGUUUUUACGAUAUAAAGUUGAAGUACCAAUGAUUGUCACACACACACACACACUAGCGAUAUAUUAAUUGACUAUGGUGUCUUAAUUAUGUAAAUGCACAACAAGUGUGGAGAUGGCCUUGAAAAUGUAUUUUAAAAAAAAAUAUAUGUAUAACAAUAAAAUAAAAAAUAUAAUUAAAAUAAAAUAAUUGCAAAAAAAUACAUUAAAAAAAAAUCUGACUAUACUAGAGAACGAUAUCAAUGUUUAUUUGUUUUUUUUACAUAGUUCAUAUUACAUCGAAAAAUUGUUUAAACUACUUGGGAAAUGUUUUUUCUGCACACCUUUAUAGUAACAUUAACAAAAAAAAAAGGGUGCCUCUGCAUUUUGUUGUCAAGUAGUACACUGAUGAUUAACAGAUAUUUUGAUAAUCUACUUAUCAACUAAAUCAUCACAAUGCCCAUCUGUAGUCUGGAUAUACGAUGGAUGAUGACCUGUUAUUUUACAUUUGUUUAAAAAAAACAUGUCGUCGAUUCUUUUGUGAGUAGUUUGACUGCCAAAUGACGGUGCGGCCUUUUUGCAAAUGUUUCUGCAUCUGCAACAUGACACCCUCCCCCCAUUUAUUUGUAUUAUCAUUAAUCCUUUGUCCCUCUCUGGCUUGAAGACUAGCAGUGUUUAUGUUGCUGCUGGCCAUCAGACUGUUUACUGCACGGAACAAAAACAUGCUUCGUAAUGGCGCACAUCGCCUCCUAAAUCAUCAUUUAUUCCUCUCGCCGCCCACACGUGCUGCAGGUUUUUUUUUUGUAUCCUUUUCAUGCGGGUGUUUUUUUCCCUCCUGUGGGUGGACAAUAAGGAGUCUCUCCUUAUCAAGAACGCUGCUGCUGCUGUUUUGCACCUUUUGUUUGUUUUUAGGCAGACACAUGAAGCAAUGCCACCCCAUCCCCCGACCGCUAUAUUCAUCACAUGCAUUGAUUUCUACUUCAAUAUAUAACUCCGUGACGUUAUUGACUCAAGUUGCUAUUUUAUUAUCGCUCCACCUCUUAAUAUUGCACACAAAUUUAAAGAAAAGAGUUGUCUCUUUAAGUUUUGCUUUCAUACGAAACUGAAUCCUUAACCACGGCGUCAACCUCGGUUCCCUUUUCAGUCAUACUCGUCCUGACAUGCUCGUGUGAGUCAUGAAGUGACACAUUUCUUCAUUGCUUUCUCCCAAAAAUGGUUGUCAUGACGGAACUGAUUAUUUCUCCUGUCGACACAAGGACUCACAAUACUGCUAGUCAUGUUUUGUUGUUGGUUGCAGGCUAAGUUAAGUUCAAGAUAAAGUACCAAUGAUAGUCACACACACACUAGGUGUGGCGAAAUUUGUCCUCUGCAUUUGACCCAUCCCCUUGUUCACCCCCUGGGAGGUGAGGGGAGCAGUGAGCAGCAGCGGUGGCCGCGCCCGGGAAUAAUUUUUGGUGAUUUAACCCCCAAUUCCAAGCCUUGAUGCUGAGUGCCAAGCAUGGAGGUAAUGGCUCCCAUUUUUAUAGUUUUUGGUAUGACUCGGCCGGGGUUUGAACUCACAACCUACCCAUCUCAGGGCGGACACUCUAACCACAAGACACUGGCGCAGUCAUUCUUUCAUAUACGUCAAACUUAUUUUAAGCUCAGGGGCCACACGAAGAAAAACCUACCUGGGUCGGAUUGGUAAAAUCAUGGCGUGAUCACUUAAAAAUAAAGACAACAUUUUUAUUAAGGAUCCCCAUUAGCUGGUUGCCUCAACAACCUACUAGUCGUCCUGGGGUCCACAAUUCAAUACAAUUACAAAUAAAAGCAUAUAAUUAUAACUACCGUAUUUUUCGGAGUAUAAGUCGCAUCGGAGUAUAAGUCGCACCUGCCGAAAAUACAUAAUAAAAAAGGAAAAAAACAUAUAUAAGUUGCACUGGAGCCCGGCCAAACUAUGAAAAAAACUGCGACUUAAAGUCCGAAAAAUACGGUACACAACACAGAAAAAAAAUAAAAUAAAA
Non-coding RNA from Nerophis lumbriciformis (worm pipefish), 2725 nucleotides. The record is from RefSeq and is a predicted model, not a curated record. Lineage: Eukaryota; Metazoa; Chordata; Actinopteri; Syngnathiformes; Syngnathidae.